Vanessa tameamea is the source of this 623-nucleotide long non-coding RNA. RefSeq lists it as uncharacterized. The transcript has 3 exons. NCBI's taxonomy places the organism in Eukaryota, Metazoa, Arthropoda, Insecta, Lepidoptera, Nymphalidae. The record is from RefSeq and is a predicted model, not a curated record.
AAAAAAAUCAUUUAUCAAAAUUUUAUGUUAAAAAACGUACGAUAAGUUUUAAAAAUAUAAAAAAACCAUAUAAAUUAUAAAAAUUGCAAAAUACACUAGAAAAGGAUUAAGGGCUGACCAUGUCUGUAUUACCUCGUGGUUACGAAUGUCAUCGACCAGCACCAAGAUAUGGAUACGUGAAAGGAGAAUAUAGCAUCUAUUACAAGAGACCACGUUACGGGCAACCUCGGCCACAGCCGUUUCAAAGAGAAACCGCGCCGUACUGUGGAGGGCCUAGUAAUGCACCUAGAGAAAGACCCUGUUGCUACGAUUACCCAUGCAAAGCGGAUUGUUUUAAUCACGGAGCAGUCACCAGGCCAAGCGGCAGAUACGCGAGGACUGUCUGGUAUCCAGGCGAGUGUUGUCCGGUGGUGCCACCUUGCCAAGCUUUCACCUGCCCUAAUCCACCAUAUCACCCUUGUUGUGUGUCCACGGUCAAUAAGUUUGUUUAAAAUUGGAACGUUAUUUAAGUGCUAAGAUGUUAACCGUUUGUUUAACGACUACAAACAUCGUCCAUAUAAGUUUUAAGUCGCAUGUGAUUUGUAUACAGUGUCGUAAUAAAUGUCGCCAAUUGAUUUAAGAUA